UGGGGAAUCUUGCGCAAUGCGCGAAAGCGUGACGCAGCAACGCCGCGUGGGUGAAGACGGCCUUCGGGUUGUAAAGCCCUUUCAGUUGGGACGAAGCUUCGUCGGUGAAUAGCCGGCCGGAGUGACGGUACCUUCAGAAGAAGCCCCGGCUAACUACGUGCCAGCAGCCGCGGUAAUACGUAGGGGGCUAGCGUUGUCCGGAAUCAUUGGGCGUAAAGCGCGUGUAGGCGGUUCGAUUAGUCUGCUGUGAAAGUCGGGGGCUCAACCCUCGAAUGCCGGUGGAUACUGUCGGGCUAGAGUGCGGAAGAGGCGAGUGGAAUUCCUGGUGUAGCGGUGAAAUGCGCAGAUAUCAGGAGGAACACCAAUUGCGAAGGCAGCUCGCUGGGACGUUACUGACGCUGAGACGCGAAAGCGUGGGGAGCAAACAGG
RNAcentral lists this ribosomal RNA (429 nucleotides) under uncultured bacterium. RNAcentral's name for it is "bacterial SSU rRNA". It matches the Rfam family "Bacterial small subunit ribosomal RNA", at positions 355 to 776 of the family's 1533-position model. The record is from RNAcentral.